UCAGGGGUUCUGACAACAAAACCUACACUUUAUCAGCGGUCCCAUGAGAUUCUACAAAAGAAGUGAAAUUAGUACUGAAGUGGUCUUAUGAAGAUGGGAGCAGGACUACCCCAACUAACUGCUGACUUCUUACCCAAGGGAGCUAACCAUAUCCCAAGAUAAUCUCAGUGGGGAUCAGUGUUGGAAGGCCCACUGGUGCUAUCUUACCUCCAGGAUCAACUUUAUCAGUUUCUCUCCUGCUCUGCCAACAGGAUAUCCAGUGUUUGCUGAAUGCCAGGACCUAUGCUUUAUCGUAUUUAUGCCAUAACUAUCUAUGGGGUCACACAGAGUCAGACACGACUGAAGUGACUUAGCAACAACCAUAUAAGGCUUGGUGAAUGGUGUGUGUAUGUGUAGGAGCUGUUGUCUGGCAAUGGCACCAGUGUUCAUGAG
Bos taurus (domestic cattle) is the source of this 432-nucleotide long non-coding RNA. Lineage: Eukaryota; Metazoa; Chordata; Mammalia; Artiodactyla; Bovidae. The record is from Ensembl.